This 580-nucleotide ribosomal RNA is filed under the name uncultured bacterium. RNAcentral describes it as "bacterial SSU rRNA". It matches the Rfam family "Bacterial small subunit ribosomal RNA", at positions 342 to 916 of the family's 1533-position model. The record is from RNAcentral.
UCGCGGGCAGCAGCUAAGAGUAUUCCGCAAUGGACGAAAGUCUGACGGAGCGACGCCGCGUGGAUGACGAAGGCCGAAAGGUUGUAAAGUCCUUUUGUUGGGGAAGAAUAACCAUGGGAGGGAAUGCCCGUGGGAUGACAUGAACCGACGAAUAAGCCCCGGCUAACUACGUGCCAGCAGCCGCGGUAACACGUAGGGGGCGAGCGUUGUUCGGAAUUACUGGGCGUAAAGGGCAUGUAGGCGGCUUUGUAAGCCCGGCGUGGAAGCCCACGGCUCAACCGUGGGAUUGCGUUGGGAACUGCAAGGCUUGAAUCAUGGAGAGGGAGCUAGAAUUCCUGGUGUAGGGGUGAAAUCUGUAGAGAUCAGGAAGAAUACCAGUGGCGAAGGCGAGCUCCUGGCCAAUGAUUGACGCUGAGGUGCGAAAGUGUGGGGAUCAAACAGGAUUAGAUACCCUGGUAGUCCACACUGUAAACGAUGUGCACUAGGUGCUGGGGCGGAUGCUUCAGUGCCGGAGCUAACGCGGUAAGUGCACCGCCUGGGGAGUAUGCUCGCAAGGGUGAAACUCCAAAGGAAUUGACGG